GACGAACGCUGGCGGCGUGCUUAACACAUGCAAGUCGAGCGGUAAGGCCCUUUCGGGGGUACACGAGCGGCGAACGGGUGAGUAACACGUGGGUGACCUGCCCUCAGCUCUGGGAUAAAGCCCGUGGGAAACCGGGUCUAAUACCGGAUAUGACUCCAUGACGCAUGUUGGUGGGGUGGAAAGCCUUGUGCGGCUGAGGA
Molecule: ribosomal RNA, 200 nt
Filed under: uncultured bacterium
Lineage: Bacteria
Description: partial 16S ribosomal RNA
Rfam family: Bacterial small subunit ribosomal RNA
Source: RNAcentral